Cynocephalus volans (Philippine flying lemur) is the source of this 106-nucleotide small nuclear RNA. Lineage: Eukaryota; Metazoa; Chordata; Mammalia; Dermoptera; Cynocephalidae. The record is from RefSeq and is a predicted model, not a curated record.
GUGCUCAUUUUGGCAGCGCAUAUGCUAAAACUAGAGCAUACAGAGAAGAUUAGCGUGAUCCCUGAGCAGGGGUGACAGGCAUGUUCAUAAGGUGCUUUAUAUGUUU